AGUCAGUGCUGUAGUGCUUCUGUAGUAGAGUUAAAAUGGUUAUUCCAUCAAACUUCAAAUGAUUAGAAUAGUACACAACGCAGAACAGAACAACCAGGUUGAGGGUCAGUGGCCAAAGCCCGCAAACAGGAAUAUUCCAAGUUCAGACAGAAGUUUAGACAGUCAGAUCGCUAUGAUCGCCAGGAACUUUACUUUUGGUGUCUAUUUUUAAAUGUUGCGCUACUGGUGCUGCCUGCUGAUGUUAGAUAGGCAGCUACAGUAGCUGAAUGAUGUUAACAUCUUCGGGUUUUGUUUCAUUAAAUGUAUUUUAUUUCAUCUGGGUGCUUGCAUCACCUACUAACACCUGGUACUACCCGUAGCCCCCGUUCUCCUCAGUCCGAGAAAACACUGAGAAAGAACAACUUGUCAGAUGGUGCAUUGGAGACUGAUGUGUUCCUGUCCUCUUUUCACAAUACUAUUGCAGGUGCUACCAAUAAACAUACAAGGAGGGGGAGGAAAGACAAUCAGUGGCAGCUAAUAGGCCGGUGACGACGACCACCGAGCGCCACCCGACCAGGAAGGGAAGCCACCCUCGGUCGGACUCGUGACAGCCACAUUGUAACGAUUGUCAUCGGGAGAAUGAGAAGAGGACCAAAGUGUAGCGUGGGAGAAGAUUCAGGCCUGCACUCUCAAGAUUCAUCAAAGGAAUGUACUUUUCCCCACUGAACCUCUAACACAUUCAAAAUGAGUAGUUACCGCCCGGAGUGAAGUCAGAGAGCGUGCCAGCCUGCCGGAACCACCUCUAUUAUCGAUGGGUUAAGAAAAAAACACGAGACCAGAAAAGUGUGAAGCUGCAGCUGCACAUUUAAAGUGGUUUGAACUUUGAAUCUCAACACGAGGUGGACAUGAUAAACUCACCUCCCAGACAAUCACUGGUACAGCUGAUAAACUGUCCUCAGUAAAGCAUCUUCAAAAGCGAAUUUAAGUAGGACCAUCCGGUUACUCCGCUCAAAUCAAAUGUUUUUGGUCACAUACACACGGUUAGCAGAUGUUAAUGAGAGUGUAGCGAAAUGCUUGUGCUUCUAGUUCCGACAGUGCAGUAAUAUCUAACAAGUAAUCUAACAAAUUCACAACGACUACCUUAUACACACAAUGUAAGGGGAUGGAAAGAUAAUAUGUACAUAUAAAUGUAUGGAUGCGCGAUGGCCGUGCGACAUAGGCAAGAUGCAAUAGAUAUUGCAUCUUGUAUAAAAUACAAUAUAGGCAAGAUGCAAUAGAUAUUGCAUCUUGUAUAAAAUACAAUAUAUGCAAGAUGCAAUAGAUAUUGCAUCUUGUAUAAAAUACAAUAUAUGCAAGAUGCAAUAGAUAUUGCAUCUUGUAUAAAAUACAAUAUAUACAAGAUGCAAUAGAUAUUGCAUCUUGUAUAAAAUACAAUAUAUACAUAUCCUACAUUACUCAUCUCAUAUGUAAACAUUAAAAUGGCAUUAUGGCAUUAAAGUGAGUAGUGAUACCUUUAUUAAAUCCAUUUAUUAAAUGGCCAAUGAUUUGAGUCUGUAUGUUGGCAGCAGCCUUUCUAUGUUAGUGAUGACUGUUUAACAGUCUGAGGGUGGAAACAAACACUGACACGGAAAAUAAACACCCACGAAACACAAGUGGGAAAAGGCUACCUAAGUAUGAUUUUCAAUCAGAGACAACUAACGACACCUGCCUCUGAUUGAGAACCAUACCAGGCCAAACACAACAUAGAAAACGGAACAUAGACAACCCACCCAACUCACACCCUGACCAUACUAAAACGAAGACAUAACAAAGGAACUAAGGUCGGAACGUGACACCAAUUCACAAACUUAUCAAGACAACUACCCAGGUCAUCCCUACUGCCUCUGAUCUGGCAGACUCACGAAACACAUAUGCUUUGUUUGUAAAUUAUGUCUGAGUGUUGGAGUGUGCCGCUGGCUAUUCGUCAUUAAAAAUUUUAAAAAAUAUACAAUUGUGCCAUCUGGAUUGCUUAAUAGAAGGAAUUUGAAAUGGUUUAUACUUUUACUUUUGAUACUUAAGUAUAUUUUAGCAAUUCCAUUUACUUUUUACCCCCUUUUUCGUGGUAUCCAAUUGUUAGUAGUUACUGUCUUGUCUCUUCGCUACAACUCCCGUACGGGAUCGGGAGAGACAAAGGUCAAGAGCCAUGCGUCCUCUGAAACACAACCCAACCAAGCCGCACUGCUUCUUAACAUAGCGCGCAUUCAACCCUGAAGCCAGCCGCACCAAUGUGUCGGAGGAAACACCGUACACCUAGCGAUCUGGUCAGCGUGCACUGCGCCCAGCCCACCACAGGAGUCACUAGUGCGCGAUGAGACAAGGAUAUCCCUACCGGCCAAACCCUCCCUAACCCGGAUGAUGCUAGGCCAAUUGUGCGUCGCCCCAUGGAUCUCAAGGUCGCGGCCGGCUGCGACAGAGCCUGGGCUCGAACCCAGAGUCUCUGGUGGCACAGCACCAGACCAUUGCGCCACCCGGGAGGCCGCCAUUCCAUUUACUUUUGAUACUUAAGUAUAUUUAAAACCAAAUACUUUCAAACUUUUACUAAAGAAGUAUUAUACUGGGUGACUUCACUUGAGUCAUUUUCGAAAAGGUAUCUUUACUUUUACUCAAGUAUGACAAUUGAGUACUUUUUCCACCACUGGGCAGACGGCAGGUUGUAUCUAAUGAAGUCCGGGACAUCGUCGUUGACCAUGUGGUAAGAGGCUGACAGAUUAGUUCACACCAAUCUGAAAAGAUCAACUGUCAAUUCGAUCAUGAGAAAAUUUCGCCAAGAAAACUGGUAAGUCUGCAGGAUAUACAUUAUCAUUACAUUUACAGUAAAUUACAUAUUGUAAUGCAUGUAAAUUCACUAAACAUGUUAAAGUAUACUCUAUACUACCCUCAGAAUUGACAGGAGAACACAUGGUGGUGGCCGUGUGCUGACCGACCAGCAGGACUGGACAGUGGUGGAAAUGGUGAGGGCCAGGAAUGACAUACGGCUGUCCAAAAUAAAAGGAUGAUGGCGCUUGAUGCUGCUGUGAACCAUCACAAGUAUAUCUUUGUUGAUGAAGUGGGCUUCAACCUGGCCAAAACUCGGCACCUUGGGCGGAUCCUCAUCGGCCAACGGGCGACUGUCCAAGUGCCUGUAAAACGUGGGGGAAACAUCUCUAUGCGCGCAGCCUUCUCUGAAGAUGGUGUGGUAGGCCAUUACUUGGACCAUACAAUGCUGCACACCUCAUUGUGUUUCUCAAUAAAAUUGAGCAGGCAGGCAAGGUGAAGGGGUCACCUAUGUCAUUGUGCUCGACAAUGUCAGGUUACACCAUGCUGAAUUGGUUCAGGCUGUUGGGCCCAUCCCCGAUUCAUGACCCUAUACCAGCCCGCAUACUCUCCUUUCCUCAAACCUAUUGAGUAUUUUGUUUUAGUAUGGAGGUGGAAGGUGUACGAUCGACAUCCCCGUGAGCAUGCCACCCUCCUUCUGGCCAUGGAUGAGACAUGCAACGAUAUUAAUGCAGACCAAUGUCAGGCUUGGAUUCGCCAUACAAGAAGGUUUUUCCCACGGUGCAUGAACAAUGACAUUCACUGUGAUAUGGAUGAGAAUUUAUGGCCAAAUGCUCACAGUCUUAAUGCAAAUUAAUGCGUGCUAAACGUUAUGUUUUAUUUUCAUUCAUUUGUUUCAUCAAAUUUCUUACAUUUGAUUACAUGCAGUACACCUAUGUUGCAAUUGUGCGUGAAUGAUUCUAGAGGAUGUCUAUGUUGAUCACAUAUUGGAUAGAUAUGGAAGGGAUAGAUUUUCUGUCAAUUUUGUUGGGUAAUGUACACUACCGUUCAAAGGUUUGGGGUCACUUAGAAAUGUCCUUUUUUUUUAAAGAAAAGCUAAUUUUUUCCCAUUAAAAUAACAUAUUGAUCCGAAAUACAGUGUAGACAUUUUUAAUGUUGUAAAUGAC
Molecule: long non-coding RNA, 3938 nt
Organism: Oncorhynchus tshawytscha (Chinook salmon)
Lineage: Eukaryota; Metazoa; Chordata; Actinopteri; Salmoniformes; Salmonidae
Source: Ensembl